Molecule: ribosomal RNA, 253 nt
Filed under: uncultured bacterium
Lineage: Bacteria
Description: partial 16S ribosomal RNA
Rfam family: Bacterial small subunit ribosomal RNA
Source: RNAcentral
UACGUAGGGAGCGAGCGUUAUCCGGAAUUAUUGGGUGUAAAGGGUGCGUAGACGGGUAAAUAAGUUAGUUGUGAAAUCCCUCGGCUCAACUGAGGAACUGCAACUAAAACUGGAUAUCUUGAGUGCGGGAGAGGAAAGUGGAAUUCCUAGUGUAGCGGUGAAAUGCGUAGAUAUUAGGAGGAACACCAGUGGCGAAGGCGACUUUCUGGACCGUAACUGACGUUGAGGCACGAAAGUGUGGGGAGCAAACAGG